GACGAACGCUGGCGGCGUGCUUAACACAUGCAAGUCGAACGGAAAGGCCCCUUUGGGGGUCCUCGAGUGGCGAACGGGUGAGUAACACGUGAGUAACCUGCCCUUGACUUCGGGUUAACUUCAGGAAACUGGGGCUAAUACCGGAUAGGAAUCCUUGCUGCAUGGUGGGGGUUGGAAAGCUUCGGCGGUUUUGGAUGGACUCGCGGCUUAUCAGCUUGUUGGUGGGGUAGUGGCUUACCAAGGCUUUGACGGGUAGCCGGCCUGAGAGGGCGACCGGCCACAUUGGGACUGAGAUACGGCCCAGACUCCUACGGGAGGCAGCAGUGGGGAAUAUUGCACAAUGGGCGGAAGCCUGAUGCAGCAACGCCGCGUGCGGGAUGACGGCCUUCGGGUUGUAAACCGCUUUCAGCAGGGGCGAAGCUUGUGGUGACGGUACCUGCAGAAGAAGCACCGGCUAACUACGUG
RNAcentral lists this ribosomal RNA (465 nucleotides) under uncultured bacterium. RNAcentral's name for it is "partial 16S ribosomal RNA". It matches the Rfam family "Bacterial small subunit ribosomal RNA", at positions 28 to 507 of the family's 1533-position model. The record is from RNAcentral.